GCCAGUGACGGGCAUGCAUCGGCGGAGGUGAGUAGGGUGCGGGGAGGGGCCGUAAUUGUUGGGCGUAAUGGGGUCGUAGGUGGGUUGUGGGGUGGGUCGUGAAUACGCACAGCUGAACGGGGGGCGUGAGGGCGAUACGGGCAGACUAGAGUACGGCAGGGGAGACUGGAAUGCCUGGUGUAGCGGUGGAAUGCGCAGAUAUCAGGAUGAACACCGGUGGCGAAGGCGGGUCUCUGGGCAGUAACUGACGCUGAGGAGCGAAAGCGUGGGGAGCGAACAGGAUUAGAUACCCGAGUAGUC
This 300-nucleotide ribosomal RNA is filed under the name uncultured Lutibacter sp. RNAcentral's name for it is "bacterial SSU rRNA". The stretch from base 54 to 300 matches the Rfam family "Bacterial small subunit ribosomal RNA", at positions 549 to 795 of the family's 1533-position model. Lineage: Bacteria; Pseudomonadati; Bacteroidota; Flavobacteriia; Flavobacteriales; Flavobacteriaceae. The record is from RNAcentral.